GGUCUUAUAGUCUAACUAAGAUACUAGACUGCAAUUCUAGAGAUGUAAUUUUACUAAGGCUUAAAAGAUUA
Molecule: transfer RNA, 71 nt
Filed under: Parafronurus youi
Lineage: Eukaryota; Metazoa; Arthropoda; Insecta; Ephemeroptera; Heptageniidae
Description: tRNA-Cys
Rfam family: tRNA (bases 1-62)
About the family: Transfer RNA (tRNA) molecules are approximately 80 nucleotides in length.
Source: RNAcentral